This 1059-nucleotide long non-coding RNA is filed under the name Felis catus (domestic cat). RNAcentral's name for it is "lncRNA (ENSFCAG00000046962.1)". The record is from RNAcentral. Lineage: Eukaryota; Metazoa; Chordata; Mammalia; Carnivora; Felidae.
AUGGCAAGUGUCACUUUCUCCAUCGGGGCCAUUACUGUCCAUCCUCGAACACCGCCAGCCAGCCCCGUCCCGGAGGCUUCCUUGCAUCAGCAAACAGGCCAAAACCCAACCCCGCCAGCAGCAGGACCCGGCAGCUCGGGCACAAAAGGAAACUCCAUCCUUGGAGCAGAGGCUAGGCCGGCCCCUGCUCUGCCCUCUGCCAAGGUGGGAAGCUGUUUGUCUCCUGGCAAUGUCCCUCUCCCCCAUACUACAAAGUACGCUGACUGCCCCUCAUCCUCUCCGGGGACCCAGCCUUCAGCCUUGGGCUGUGAAGGACCUUUGACCUGCGUCCCGAAACCUCCUGGGAGUUUCUCUCUGGAGAACAGAUGGGCGGGUGGGUGUGAGUCACGGCGGCAGGAGAACUCUGCUCUGUUGGUCACUGCCUGCCUGAGUCAGUGCCCGCCCAUAGGCCAAGGGGAUGCCAGUGUCUGGUCCUCGCGACUGCCACCUCCCCGAGUGAGUCAGGGGCAGAGGGGCACACUCCCCCCCUCCCCCGCUCCCUCCCCCCGCCCCCGGGCCUGGCCAGUUUGGCCAAGUCCUGCCUGGGCAGGGCCUAAGACAGGCUGGGACCAGCCAGGAAGUCUCCAAGCCUCUGGGCAACAGCAACCUACUGAUCCACUGUUUUUUAAUUUGGGGAAUUUCACUGCCAGCAAGAGAAGUGGGCUCUCAGACCUCACAGCUGCUCACUUUCCUUUUAACCUUGAACAUCUCUCUUCCCUCUUGACGGCUGUCCCACUUGUACAACAAGGGAUAGCAAAGGGUGCCUGGGUGGGUCAGUCAGUUAAGCAACUGACUUCGGCUCAGGUCAUGAUCUCACAGUUCGUGGGUUCAAGCCCCGCGUCGGGCUCUGUGCUGACAGCUCGGAGCCUGGAGCCUGCUUCCGAUUCUGUGUCUCCCUCUCUCUCUGCCCCUCCCCCACUUGUGCUCUGUCUCUGUCUCUCUCUCUCAAAAAUAAAUGCAAAAAAAAUUAAAACAACAACAACAACAAAGGAUAGCAAAGCGAGGCCCCUGGCCACUUAG